UUGUUUCCAACCAUUAAACAACAGAAGAAGAAAAUGAGUUUUCUCAUACUUUAAUCUGAAAGUAACAGCCACGUUACCUCUGCCUCCUCCUGAGUCUUGGGAUGCAACGUUUACCUUCCAACGCAUUCACUUAAUGCAGCACCUGUCUACUGUGUGCGACAAAAACCCGCGAGGAGCACAAGGACACAGGCGGACGGACGUGUCAGCAGAGCCGAGCUGACAUCAGCUCUUCAGACAGGGCAGAACUAAGGGCUUGUUUUGGACAGGAGCAGGAGAUGGGCCAAACAGAGGUCUGAGCAGGCGUGGCCACCGCCCCUCCCAGGACAACCCUGGAUCAAUGCACGAAGAUGGCGAGACUUUCGGCUCACAGGGUUCCCUAAUCCGGGGAGAGGUAACCCCCUCUUCUACUCGGACAGCAGACAGAUGAACAGACACCAGUUAAGCAAAGAUGGGGAUGGGGAGAUGGAUGAAGAAAGGAAGAGGAAAAAGUUGUUGGGGGAAGAAAAUAGGAGGCAAAGGUCAAAUCUAAUGCAGCGUACUGCUAUGAAACAAAAGGCAGCCAGAGAAAGUCAGACAGAGGUGACAGCGAGUGGUUAAACUAAAAAGAAAGUGGGAGGUGGCUGAGGAGAGAAAGUGCUGGUGAGGGGCCUGGUGCAACGUUAGCGUGGUCAUCGUAGCAUAGCACUGAUACGCCUGCUUACUGUCCCGCUUCCAGGCUGUUGACGCCUCGUUCUGAGCUCAGACAAGAAGAGGGUGAAGGAAUCCAUGUGGGUAGGACCCGGCCCUCGGCCAAGGGCACAACAGGGAAGCUGAACAUCAGGUGCUUCAGUUCAGCUUGUUUUACUGACCAAGACCAAAGUGUAAAAGAAGCCACAGCUGCUAAUUGUGCGGUGGUGAUGAUGUCAGACCUGAGCUUUAGCUGUGGUCUGAUCCUCUGUCCCUUCUGUUUCCCUGACUUAAAGCCAAGACUGUUGCAAAGUGAGUAGCAGUAGUUCUGUCCUUUAAGAACUAGACACAAAACGGGCCGGUUUGUGUCUAGAGGUUUAUAAGUAGCUGCAGAAGUUGUCCUCCAGUAGCACGGCUCACCGUGUUCGGCCUGGUGGAGGGGUGAGGGGGACUGGGGGUGUCCAGGCUCCCAGCUUCCUUGGAACAACAGUGGUCUUUGAAGACACUGCCAAUUAGCAGCUGGGCCACGUACUGACAUCUGGGCCGAGGAAAUACAGACCAGCUGGGAUUAUUGUCAAAGCCAGUGACCUGUUUGCUUAACCUCUUCACCCGACCCCUGAGCUGGGGUCAAGGUAGCCGGCCAGCCCUGGUCCUCCUCUCGUUCCUCUCCUUUGUCUCCUCUCCUGCUGCUUCUCUCUGUUCUACUCCAGCCCCAUAGAGACUCUUGCUCCUGCUUCCCACGCCGUGUCGUUACUUCGAUUACAUCACAAGUCAUCAAGCACGCCAGGGAUUUGGCCCGGUCGGGUUUUCCCUCAUGCCAGAUGCAUGAUCAGCUCUAUGAGAUCCCACGAGUGUGUGUGGUAUGUAAUCCUAAUCUCUGGUUCCUCCUCUGCCAGGGUUUAAUCAGCAUCAUGAUCUGUGGUAAAACGUGUGGUUUAAAACCUGUUGUGUUCCUUGUGUUGUCACAUGGGCACUGUGUCGACCACAGCGCUGCACUAACUGCUUUUUAAGAGUUUAAAUUGAAAUUGUUCAUUAAAACUUUAAAUUCACAGUUGAAUUUGUCAGAGAAGUUGUUAAAGUUCAAUUGAAAAGUGCUGGUGCAGCUGUGGCCAGACGCUGCUCCCGGUGUUGCUCCCAUUAGCACCACUAACCCCAGUGGCCCGUCAACCUGUGUUGGAACGCAGCCGUGGUCCCUCGGUGCUGCGUUAAUGGAGCCCAGUUUUCUGAUCAUAGGUCACUGGCUUCCUGUGUGAUUCCAACACAAGCCUUUUACAAUGGCCACCCAAACACUUUCUGAUUGGCUGCUCGGUGUCAGAUCCGCUGUCUGUUGCUCUCGUCUUCUGGCCUGAUAAUGUUCUUUGGUGUGUUUUUUAUGUCGGGUUCAGAAUAACUACAAACCCUUUUGGCUCCUGCCACGGCUGCACCCCGUGUCGUAUGAACCCUUGUCCCCUCGUGAGCAGCAGCAGGGUCAGAAUCUGGUCUAAUCAUAUGUGUGGUGUCCACAUACUUUUGGCCAAAGAAUACCGAGGGCCUCUAUUGUAUUGCUGCGUUUUUGUUUCACUAUAACCUGAUGCUGGCUUCUCCACGUCAGCACACUGAUGCAGGUACCACAUGUGAUGGGUAAAUGCCACCCUGAGUCAUGGCUGCAGGCAGGAAACUGGCUCA
This is a long non-coding RNA of Monopterus albus (swamp eel), 2331 nucleotides long. RefSeq lists it as uncharacterized. The record is from RefSeq and is a predicted model, not a curated record. The transcript has 3 exons. NCBI's taxonomy places the organism in Eukaryota, Metazoa, Chordata, Actinopteri, Synbranchiformes, Synbranchidae.